ACCUGACUGCUAUCGGAUUGAUACUAAGCCAUGCGAGUCAUUGUAGCAAUACAAGGCAUACGGCUCAGUAACGCGUAGUCAACCUAACCUAUGGACGGGAAUAACCUCGGGAAACUGAGAAUAAUGCCCGAUAGAACACUAUACCUGGAAUGGUUUGUGUUCCAAAUGAUUUAUCGCCAUAGGAUGGGACUGCGGCCUAUCAGUUUGUUGGUGAGGUAAUGGCCCACCAAGACUAUUACAGGUACGGGCUCUGAGAGGAGUAGCCCGGAGAUGGGUACUGAGACACGGACCCAGGCCCUAUGGGGCGCAGCAGGCGUGAAAACUUUGCAAUGUGCGAAAGCACGACAAGGUUAAUCCGAGUGAUUUGUGCUAAACGAAUCUUUUGUUAGUCCUAGAAACACUAACGAAUAAGGGGUGGGCAAGUUCUGGUGUCAGCCGCCGCGGUAAAACCAGCACCUCAAGUGGUCAGGAUGAUUAUUGGGCCUAAAGCAUCCGUAGCCGGCUCUGUAAGUUUUCGGUUAAAUCUGUACGCUUAACGUACAGGCUGCCGGGAAUACUGCAGAGCUAGGGAGUGGGAGAGGUAGACGGUACUCGGUAGGAAGUGGUAAAAUGCUUUGAUCUAUCGAUGACCACCUGUGGCGAAGGCGGUCUACCAGAACACGUCCGACGGUGAGGGAUGAAAGCUGGGGGAGCAAACCGGAUUAGAUACCCGGGUAGUCCCAGCUGUAAACUAUGCAAACUCAGUGAUGCAUUGGCUUGUGGCCAAUGCAGUGCUGCAGGGAAGCCGUUAAGUUUGCCGCCUGGGAAGUACGUACGCAAGUAUGAAACUUAAAGGAAUUGGCGGGGGAGCACCACAAGGGGUGAAGCCUGCGGUUC
RNAcentral lists this ribosomal RNA (876 nucleotides) under uncultured crenarchaeote. RNAcentral describes it as "bacterial SSU rRNA". It matches the Rfam family "Archaeal small subunit ribosomal RNA", at positions 21 to 903 of the family's 1478-position model. Lineage: Archaea; Thermoproteati; Thermoproteota. The record is from RNAcentral.